GACGCCUCCAGGAUCUGUCGGCAGCUGCUGUUCUGAGGGAGAGCAGAGACCAUGUCUGACAUAGAAGAGGUGGUGGAAGAGUACGAGGAGGAGGAGCAGGAAGAAGCAGCUGUUGAAGAGCAGGAGGAGGCAGCGGAAGAGGAUGCUGAAGCAGAGGCUGAGACCGAGGAGACCAGGGCAGAAGAAGAUGAAGAAGAAGAGGAAGCAAAGGAGGCUGAAGAUGGCCCAAUGGAGGAGUCCAAACCAAAGCCCAGGUCGUUCAUGCCCAACUUGGUGCCUCCCAAGAUCCCCGAUGGAGAGAGACGGUCCACCCACAGGACAUCCACCGGAAGCGCAUGGAGAAGGACCUGAAUGAGUUGCAGGCGCUGAUCGAGGCUCACUUUGAGAACAGGAAGAAAGAGGAGGAGGAGCUCGUUUCUCUCAAAGACAGGAUCGAGAGACGUCGGGCAGAGCGGGCCGAGCAGCAGCGCAUCCGGAAUGAGCGGGAGAAGGAGCGGCAGAACCGCCUGGCUGAAGAGAGGGCUCGACGAGAGGAGGAGGAGAACAGGAGGAAGGCUGAGGAUGAGGCCCGGAAGAAGAAGGCUUUGUCCAACAUGAUGCAUUUUGGGGGUUACAUCCAGAAGGUAGACAGAGCGGAAAAGUGGGAAGAGGCAGACUGAGCGGGAAAAGAAGAAGAAGAUUCUGGCUGAGAGGAGGAAGGUGCUGGCCAUUGACCACCUGAAUGAAGAUCAGCUGAGGGAGAAGGCCAAGGAGCUGUGGCAGAGCAUCUAUAACUUGGAGGCAGAGAAGUUCGACCUGCAGGAGAAGUUCAAGCAGCAGAAAUAUGAGAUCAAUGUUCUCCGAAACAGGAUCAACGAUAACCAGAAAGUCUCCAAGACCCGCGGGAAGGCUAAAGUCACCGGGCGCUGGAAAUAGAGCCUGGCCUCCUUCACCAAAGAUCUGCUCCUCGCUCGCACCUGCCUCCGGCCUGCACUCCCCCAGUUCCCGGGCCCUCCUGGGCACCCCAGGCAGCUCCUGUUUGGAAAUGGGGAGCUGGCCUAGGUGGGAGCCACCACUCCUGCCUGCCCCCACACCCACUCCACACCAGUAAUAAAAA
This 1096-nucleotide long non-coding RNA is filed under the name Homo sapiens (human). RNAcentral's name for it is "long non-coding RNA NONHSAT152742.1". Lineage: Eukaryota; Metazoa; Chordata; Mammalia; Primates; Hominidae. The record is from RNAcentral.